This 211-nucleotide ribosomal RNA is filed under the name uncultured Desulfocapsa sp. Its description in RNAcentral is "partial 16S ribosomal RNA". It matches the Rfam family "Bacterial small subunit ribosomal RNA", at positions 1172 to 1382 of the family's 1533-position model. The record is from RNAcentral. Lineage: Bacteria; Pseudomonadati; Thermodesulfobacteriota; Desulfobulbia; Desulfobulbales; Desulfocapsaceae.
GGUGGGGAUGACGUCAAAUCCUCAUGGCCUUUAUGACCAGGGCUACACACGUACUACAAUGGCCGGUACAAAGGGCAGCCACUUAGCGAUAAGGAGCCAAUCCCGUAAAGCCGGUCUCAGUCCGGAUUGGAGUCUGCAACUCGACUCCAUGAAGUUGGAAUCGCUAGUAAUCGCAGAUCAGCACGCUGCGGUGAAUACGUUCCCGGGCCUU